This 253-nucleotide ribosomal RNA is filed under the name uncultured bacterium. RNAcentral's name for it is "partial 16S ribosomal RNA". It matches the Rfam family "Bacterial small subunit ribosomal RNA", at positions 524 to 776 of the family's 1533-position model. The record is from RNAcentral.
UACGUAGGUGGCAAGCGUUGUCCGGAAUUAUUGGGCGUAAAGCGCGCGCAGGUGGUUUCUUAAGUCUGAUGUGAAAGCCCACGGCUCAACCGUGGAGGGUCAUUGGAAACUGGGGAACUUGAGUGCAGGAGAGAAGAGUGGAAUUCCACGUGUAGCGGUGAAAUGCGUAGAGAUGUGGAGGAACACCAGUGGCGAAGGCGACUACCUGGCCUGUUCUUGACGCUGAGGCGCGAAAGCUAGGGGAGCAAACGGG